Molecule: ribosomal RNA, 354 nt
Filed under: Cutibacterium acnes
Lineage: Bacteria; Bacillati; Actinomycetota; Actinomycetes; Propionibacteriales; Propionibacteriaceae
Description: bacterial SSU rRNA
Rfam family: Bacterial small subunit ribosomal RNA
Source: RNAcentral
GACGAACGCGGCGGCGUGCUUAACACAUGCAAGUCGAACGGAAAGGCCCUGCUUUUGUGGGGUGCUCGAGUGGCGAACGGGUGAGUAACACGUGAGUAACCUGCCCUUGACUUUGGGAUAACUUCAGGAAACUGGGGCUAAUACCGGAUAGGAGCUCCUGCUGCAUGGUGGGGGUUGGAAAGUUUCGGCGGUUGGGGAUGGACUCGCGGCUUAUCAGCUUGUUGGUGGGGUAGUGGCUUACCAAGGCUUUGACGGGUAGCCGGCCUGAGAGGGUGACCGGCCACAUUUGGGACUGAGAUACGGCCCAGACUCCUACGGGAGGCAGCAGUGGGGAAUAUUGCACAAUGGGCGGAA